RNAcentral lists this ribosomal RNA (615 nucleotides) under Triticum aestivum (bread wheat). Its description in RNAcentral is "partial small subunit ribosomal RNA". Lineage: Eukaryota; Viridiplantae; Streptophyta; Magnoliopsida; Poales; Poaceae. The record is from RNAcentral.
AUGGAGACUACUGUUCAAGAUAUACAGGUGAAAGAAGUCAUACAUAAUAAAUUUACCUCGGCUUGUCAAACUGCUACUAACCCUUCUCAGAUUGUGGAGGUGACUGGUGAGGUGGACCCUGGGUUGAAGACUUCAUGCAGCUAUAUGGUACAACUCCCAUCUUCUGAAAACAUGGAGGAGAUCAUUCUUACCCCUCCACUAGCAACUGAAGCCCCACUGAGAUUCAGCAAACGUAACGCCUCUGGGAUGCAGGGCAAGAUUGAGGACAAGGCCAAGAAACUGGCUAGUAAGAAAAAUCUGGAAGGUAACAAUACCCAUGCUUCCAAAAAUUCCUUUGAUGUACUUUCUGACAAUGAGUUGAUUAGUAGAGCUAAUAAGAUAGGGGCAGACAUACCCAAUGAUAAUUUCGCUGUUAUUGACAUUAUUAGAGAGCUUGAAUGCGCCCGAAAAGAAUUAGAAGAUAAAAGGGAAGAUAACAACACUGAAAUAGUACGGGAUAACUUGAUUGUGACAGACGGUUUGGGUAGGAACACCCCUGUGAAUUUAGAAUGGUUGGACCAGGAAGAACAUAUAUAUGAACAUAUCUCUUCUAUUAAACCUAAGAAAAAAACAUAG